ACGAACCGUGCGAACGUUAUUCGGAAUCACUGGGCUUAAAGCGCGUGUAGGCGGAUGGGUGCGUCGGCAUCUGAAAGCCCCCGGCUCAACCGGGGAAGUGGGGCCGAAACGACCCGUCUGGAGGGACGUAGGGGGAUCUGGAACUUCCGGUGGAGCGGUGAAAUGCGUUGAGAUCGGAAGGAACGCCCGUGGCGAAAGCGAGAUCCUGGACGUUUUCUGACGCUGAGACGCGAAAGCUAGGGGAGCAAACGG
RNAcentral lists this ribosomal RNA (252 nucleotides) under uncultured prokaryote. RNAcentral describes it as "partial 16S rRNA". It matches the Rfam family "Bacterial small subunit ribosomal RNA", at positions 525 to 775 of the family's 1533-position model. The record is from RNAcentral.